Long non-coding RNA from Hordeum vulgare subsp. vulgare (domesticated barley), 473 nucleotides. RefSeq lists it as uncharacterized. The transcript has 3 exons. Lineage: Eukaryota; Viridiplantae; Streptophyta; Magnoliopsida; Poales; Poaceae. The record is from RefSeq and is a predicted model, not a curated record.
UGAAGCUGCUUGCAUUGAUCUACAAUCCAUCUUGACUUCGGCUAGAAGGAACAACUACUUCUGAAUUUUGGGGUGGCAGAAGUAAGGGCGAGUUGAAUUGUGCAACCGCGGGGAAUGCAUGCACAUGGAAGGGUGGACGUCACGGUUACCCUCGCAGGGACGACUAUGCCAACAACUGUUUGCGCAUUAACUAAUUAAUAGCACAGGCAAAUCUUGCUUUAUCUAAUGUAAGAAGAGGGUCAAAGUUUGUUCAACUAUGCGCACUUUUUUUAACUAAGUAGUAAUACAUACAACAAAGGUUGCCAUCCACGAGCAUUGCCUCGAGUUGCUUGAUGUAUGUGGAUCAUUUGUUUGUAACAUAAUCCAAGUUACGUAUCUGAUGAAGGGGAAAUUGUAUGUACACGUUUUAUGUACCGGUAUAUAUGUGUUGUCUCAAACUAUAAAACAUGAUCAAUGAUAAUUUUUUCAUUAAA